RNAcentral lists this ribosomal RNA (1121 nucleotides) under Salmonella enterica subsp. enterica serovar Newport. Its description in RNAcentral is "partial 23S ribosomal RNA". It matches the Rfam family "Bacterial large subunit ribosomal RNA", at positions 95 to 1224 of the family's 2925-position model. The record is from RNAcentral. Lineage: Bacteria; Pseudomonadati; Pseudomonadota; Gammaproteobacteria; Enterobacterales; Enterobacteriaceae.
CCGUUAUAACCGGCGAUACCCGAAUGGGGAAACCCAGUGUGACUCGUCACACUAUCAUUAACUGAAUCCAUAGGUUAAUGAGGCGAACCGGGGGAACUGAAACAUCUAAGUACCCCGAGGAAAAGAAAUCAACCGAGAUUCCCCCAGUAGCGGCGAGCGAACGGGGAGGAGCCCAGAGCCUGAAUCAGCAUGUGUGUUAGUGGAAGCGUCUGGAAAGGCGCGCGAUACAGGGUGACAGCCCCGUACACAAAAGCGCAUGUGCUGUGAGCUCGAUGAGUAGGGCGGGACACGUGGUAUCCUGUCUGAAUAUGGGGGGACCAUCCUCCAAGGCUAAAUACUCCUGACUGACCGAUAGUGAACCAGUACCGUGAGGGAAAGGCGAAAAGAACCCCGGCGAGGGGAGUGAAAAAGAACCUGAAACCGUGUACGUACAAGCAGUGGGAGCACAGGUUUACCUGUGUGACUGCGUACCUUUUGUAUAAUGGGUCAGCGACUUAUAUUCUGUAGCAAGGUUAACCGAAUAGGGGAGCCGGAGGGAAACCGAGUCUUAAUUGGGCGUUAAGUUGCAGGGUAUAGACCCGAAACCCGGUGAUCUAGCCAUGGGCAGGUUGAAGGUUGGGUAACACUAACUGGAGGACCGAACCGACUAAUGUUGAAAAAUUAGCGGAUGACCUGUGGCUGGGGGUGAAAGGCCAAUCAAACCGGGAGAUAGCUGGUUCUCCCCGAAAGCUAUUUAGGUAGCGCCUCGUGAAUUCAUCUCCGGGGGUAGAGCACUGUUUCGGCUAGGGGGCCAUCCCGGCUUACCAACCCGAUGCAAACUGCGAAUACCGGAGAAUGUUAUCACGGGAGACACACGGCGGGUGCUAACGUCCGUCGUGAAGAGGGAAACAACCCAGACCGCCAGCUAAGGUCCCAAAGUCAUGGUUAAGUGGGAAACGAUGUGGGAAGGCCCAGACAGCCAGGAUGUUGGCUUAGAAGCAGCCAUCAUUUAAAGAAAGCGUAAUAGCUCACUGGUCGAGUCGGCCUGCGCGGAAGAUGUAACGGGGCUAAACCAUGCACCGAAGCUGCGGCAGCGAACGUAUCACUUAAAGCGAUUCAGCGGGUUACGAUUGACGGAGCGA